This 253-nucleotide ribosomal RNA is filed under the name uncultured bacterium. RNAcentral's name for it is "partial 16S ribosomal RNA". It matches the Rfam family "Bacterial small subunit ribosomal RNA", at positions 524 to 776 of the family's 1533-position model. The record is from RNAcentral.
UACGUAGGGUGCAAGCGUUAAUCGGAAUUACUGGGCGUAAAGCGUGCGCAGGCGGUUGUGUAAGUCAGAGGUGAAAUCCCCGGGCUCAACCUGGGAAUUGCCUUUGAGACUGUGCAACUAGAGGAUGGCAGAGGGGGGUAGAAUUCCACGUGUAGCAGUGAAAUGCGUAGAGAUGUGGAGGAAUACCGAUGGCGAAGGCAGCCCCCUGGGCUAUAACUGACGCUCAUGCACGAAAGCGUGGGGAGCAAACAGG